CGCCUGUUUAUCAAAAACAUAGCCCCUUGAAUAUUUAAGGGGUCCCGCCUGCCCAGUGGCCUGAAGCUAAACGGCCGCGGUAUCUUGACCGUGCAAAGGUAGCAUAAUCAUUUGUCUUUUAAAUGGAGACUCGUAUGAAUGGCGAAACCUUUUUUAACUGUCUUCCUUCCUACCCUCUGAGAUUUCUUUCUGUGUGAAGAAGCACAGAUAAACUAGAAAGACGAGAAGACCCUGUCGAGCUUUAGCUCUUAGGUGAGCUUCCUCCUUUUUUAGAUAUCACCGAAAGGCUUUGGUUGGGGCAACCACGGAGAAAAAGAAUCCUCCGGAACAAAUAGAAGAAAACUUUUCACUAUUAAUAAACCUAAGAACCAGGAACUGGUAUUCGGAAAAAGUUACCGCAGGGAUAACAGCGUAAUUCUCUUUAAGAGUCCUUAUUGACGAGAGAGUUUGCGACCUCGAUGUUGGAUUGGGGCCCCCUUAGGGUGCAGAAGCUCUAAACGGUUAGACUGUUCGUCUAUUAAAGCCCUACA
RNAcentral lists this ribosomal RNA (530 nucleotides) under Holothuria moebii. Its description in RNAcentral is "partial 16S ribosomal RNA". It matches the Rfam family "Bacterial large subunit ribosomal RNA", at positions 1797 to 2600 of the family's 2925-position model. The record is from RNAcentral. Lineage: Eukaryota; Metazoa; Echinodermata; Holothuroidea; Aspidochirotida; Holothuriidae.